Molecule: ribosomal RNA, 1078 nt
Filed under: uncultured Campylobacterota bacterium
Lineage: Bacteria; Pseudomonadati; Campylobacterota
Description: bacterial SSU rRNA
Rfam family: Bacterial small subunit ribosomal RNA
Source: RNAcentral
GCUGGCGGCGUGCUUAACACAUGCAAGUCGAACGGUAACAGAUAGUACUUGUACUAUGCUGACGAGUGGCGAACGGGUGAGUAAGGUAUAGUUAAUUUGCCUCUUGGAGAGGGAUAGCCAUUGGAAACGAUGAUUAAUACCUCAUACUCCUAAUGUAGUAAGGUAUAUUAGGGAAAAGCGAUAUAGUGCCAAGAGAUAAGACUAUAUGGUAUCAGGUAGUUGGUGGGGUAAGAGCCUACCAAGCCAAUGACGCCUAGCUGGUCUGAGAGGAUGAUCAGCCACACUGGAACUGAGACACGGUCCAGACUCCUACGGGAGGCAGCAGUGGGGAAUAUUGCACAAUGGAGGAAACUCUGAUGCAGCAACGCCGCGUGGAGGAUGACGCAUUUCGGUGUGUAAACUCCUUUUAUAUAGGAAGAUAAUGACGGUACUAUAUGAAUAAGCACCGGCUAACUCCGUGCCAGCAGCCGCGGUAAUACGGAGGGUGCAAGCGUUACUCGGAAUCACUGGGCGUAAAGCGCGCGCAGGCGGGUUGGUAAGUUGGAUGUGAAAGCCUACGGCUCAACCGUAGAACUGCAUCCAAAACUGCCAGCCUAGAGUCUGGGAGAGGUGAGUGGAAUUAGUGGUGUAGGGGUAAAAUCCGUAGAGAUCACUAGGAAUACCGAAAGCGAAGGCACUCACUGGAACAGUACUGACGCUGAGGCGCGAAAGCGUGGGGAGCAAUCAGGAUUAGAUACCCUGGUAGUCCACGCCCUAAACGAUGAAUGUUAGUCGUUGCGGCGCACGUCGUCGCAGUGAUGCAGCUAACGCAUUAAACAUUCCGCCUGGGGAGUACGGUCGCAAGAUUAAAACUCAAAGGAAUAGACGGGGACCCGCACAAGUGGUGGAGCAUGUGGUUUAAUUCGAAGAUACGCGAAGAACCUUACCCGGCCUUGACAUCCCAGGAACCCUGCAGAGAUGCGGGGGUGCUACUUCGGUAGAGCCUGGUGACAGGUGCUGCACGGCUGUCGUCAGCUCGUGUCGUGAGAUGUUGGGUUAAGUCCCGCAACGAGCGCAACCCUCGUGUCCAGUUGCUAAC